GUGUUAUUUUAGCUCCGCUAUUUCGACACUUGAUUUCUAAGAUUGAAGCUUAAUUUUAGCCAAAAAUGAGUCUUCUGCAUGGUGUAUCAUUCAACAACAAAGGCAAGUUGAUUUGGACAAAAUCCUUACAAGAUUUACAGAAGUUUGUAGAAGAAAUAUUGAAUUUAGCUGAUGGCGGUUGGUGCUGCCCCGGAGGAGGUGCUAAACAGUUUAAAUCCGAAGAUAUUGAUCUUCGAUGGUACCCCGAUACACAAACAAUCACUUUAAACGGUAAACUAAAAGAUGAAGUCGGAGAGAUAUUCAAUUCUGCUGCCGUAAUAUCGGGGAAGCUGGCAAAUAAAAGUGGAAAAGAAGCAUCGAAGCGGGGCGGCCAUAUUGAAGAGACGUAUGUUGCUUCGACUUUGAAUAUUAAUGACUCGAGAGACGUAGAUAAUGAUGUUAACCGGCCAUUUGUUAAUGAAUUCAAUGCGAAGAAGCUAUUCCUAAUGUUAUCGAAAAAAUUCCAGCAAAUAGCCGUUCCAUACAAGAUGACCAAAUGUUGUCCCUUGAGGCCCUUCAAAGCCAAAUACAAGCUCUUACCAAAGAAGUAAACGGAAAUACGGCUGCUCUAGAAAACAUAAGGGAACCAAAAAUGGACUCCAAUCCAUUGUUAGUUCAAGAAUCAAAAAACGAAGUUGAUUGCCUAAAAGAAAAAAUUUAUAAACUGAUGGACGAGAACAAACUUUUGAAAAACGAAAAUAAUGAAAACAUCGAAAGAAUCAACAACCUAUCAUUUAUACUAGCUGACUUGCAACAAAAGACAAAAAACGCAGAACAAGAAAGGGACAGCGUAAUUACUGCCAUGCGUCUGCUAAUUGCUGAAACCAAUAGCGUAGUAGAAAACAAUGUUAUUGAACAAAAGCUGUGCAAUGAAGUGGAUGAGUGCACCCAGUCAAAAGAUAUUAUAAACCCGAAUAUUAAAUUAAAGAACAAAUAUUCGGUACUGGAAAACGAGCAAGUAGACGGCGGCGAAUCAAGCGCAAUAUCAAAGCAGAAAACUGAGGAAGAUCAAGUACAACAAAAAAAGAAAAGGAAAUCCAAGUCAAAGAAAAAGACAACCAAAGAUGACGCAUCACGUAAGCCGCAGGAAGUAGAACAGGCAAAAGCUGAACAACAAGAACAACAGCCUCAACAACAGAAAAGGAAAACUGUUGUUGUAGCAGGAGAUUCUAUAAUAAAAUACGUGAAGGGGUGGGAACUAUCUAAUACCGAGCAAAAUGUCGCAGUAAAGUCCUUUUCAGGCGCCACCGUGGAGGAUAUGAACGACUUUCUCAGGCCAACAGCUCGAAGGCAACCUGAUAAACUGGUCAUACGCGUGGGCACAAAUAAUAUACGAAGUUCGACGCCGCAGAAUGUUGCUGACAAAGUUACUAAAGUGGCACACCAGUUCAAACAGGAAUCGAAGAAAACAAGAAUAAUUAUUUCAUCCUUGAUCAUUAGAAAGGAUAAUCCCGAAUUUGCAAGUAAGGUAAAAGAGACCAAUGUUGCUUUGAAACUGAAAUGUGAAGAAAACAAUUGGUCGUUUAUAGAUAAUAGUAAUAUAAACAGCUUACAUUUAAAUCACAGGGGCUUACACCUAACUCAUGAAGGGAGUGCCCUACUACAAGCCAAUAUAGGAAAUAUAUUAAAAUGAUAUGAUAAGAGGCCGAGGGGAAAAGAUAAUGAGACAAAUUGGUCAGAUAUUCCUAAAUUAAGAGGUUUUAGAAUGGCUAUGCUCAAUAUAGCUAGCCUUCCGAAACACCUUGACGAAAUUCGCCUGCUAUUGCAUGAUAAAAAAUUGGAUGUCUUGGCACUAAAUGAAACUCGCCUUGACUCCUCUAUUUCGGACGACCUUAUGAGUAUCGAGGGUUAUACGAUAUACUGCGCUCUGAUCGAAAACGAAAUGGAGGGGGAGUAUGUAUAUACAUUAGGUGUCAUGUAAACUAUGAAAACCGUCCAGAUUUAAUUCCAAACGAUCUAGAAGCCGUUUGUUUGGAAAUAAAACAA
Non-coding RNA from Paramuricea clavata, 2025 nucleotides. Lineage: Eukaryota; Metazoa; Cnidaria; Anthozoa; Malacalcyonacea; Plexauridae. The record is from the annotation of a GenBank genome assembly.